CACUAAAUAAUUCAGUAAAAAUUAAUUAUUUAUCACUAUGUGGUUAUAUUGGUGUGAGUGCUGUUUGUUUUUAACAAAUAUUGAUUGGUUAAGUGUUAAAUAGCUCUGAGUAAUCAUCAUGGUAACGGUUAGCAUCAAAACAUCACGUGAAUGCAGCCUGUUUUCAUCUAAUUGCAGGUCUGCCUUCAUCUGAAUCACUGUGGCUGUGCUGAAGAAGAAAGGGAGAUGGAUGGAUGUUAUAGAUAGAUGAAGGUGAAUCAGUGGAUGCAUCACUAUGGAGGUUUGGUGAUUUGAACGAAAGCUAAAAAAAAAGAUGUGGUCAGUGAAAACACAAGAUGCACAUUCCAUCUCACUGUCCGUCUGUCUUACUCAUGGGAUUGAAGGAUGCAUGUGAACAUGACUCACACACUGUUGGCAAUGAAGGGAACAUGAUCUUAUUAGUCAUGAUUAUAGCAACGGUUCUUGCAGCACAGGCGCACCCACAUUGUCUUAACCUCUGCAAAUCCACUUCCUGACUUUGUGAUUAAAAUUUCAAUAGCUGUUAAUGUCCGUUGAACUCUUUUUCAGACCUCCAACGAAUGUCAAGCUUUCCAACAUAGUCAUCAUAUAGAUUACUAAUACAGAUCAAU
This is a long non-coding RNA of Cyprinus carpio (common carp), 629 nucleotides long. RefSeq lists it as uncharacterized. The transcript has 3 exons. The record is from RefSeq and is a predicted model, not a curated record. NCBI's taxonomy places the organism in Eukaryota, Metazoa, Chordata, Actinopteri, Cypriniformes, Cyprinidae.